CAUAUACUCCCUUCGUCCGGAAAUACUUGUCCGAGGAAUAGAUGUACCUAGAUGUAUUUUAGUUUUAGAUACAUCCAUUUGUAUUCAUUUCCAUGACAAGUAUUUCCAGACGGAGGGAGUAUUUG
Non-coding RNA from Triticum aestivum (bread wheat), 125 nucleotides. NCBI's taxonomy places the organism in Eukaryota, Viridiplantae, Streptophyta, Magnoliopsida, Poales, Poaceae. The record is from Rfam.